AUCAUUCAUAACCUGCCAAGUGUCAAAAGUUUUUACACUAUUGUAUUAUUAAUUAUAUUUAUAUCAGCAAAAUGUUUUCAAUUUAGACUUUGUAUUUAGGGUUUAAUAACAAAUUGCAGCCAGUGUUGUACAGUGUUGAUCGAUCUUGAUUACAAGAGCUUGUGGAAAUGAAGGGGGCCCAUCAGGAUUGGAGAUUAACAAAUUGCUGCCAGUAAAGUAAAAUGUAGAUCAAUUUUCAUUACAAGGUAAGUUGUCAAAAUCUGAAUUGUCAGGUACCUUACAGAAUAGAUCCAUACCACUAGUGUUUUUAAUUUAGACUUUUUAUGUAGAGCUUAUAGAAAUGGAGUCAUUUUCUCAUUUCAUCAUUAACAUUAAAAUUUCUUGCAGCAAAAAAAAAAUUGCAGGUAUUUAUAAUUAUUUAUAAAUUGAACGAAUAAAUGCUUAUAAUUAAUAAAUUAUAUGAAAUAUAUAUAUUCGUUUUUGUUAUCCCCUCUCCCUUUAUUUGACUCUAUUUAAUUAAAGAAACAAAUAAUAAUUUAGAUUUCUUAUGUAGAGUUUAGAGAAAUAUCAAUUUUAUUUUUAUAAAUUUAAAAUAGAUUCUAUAUAAUAAAUUAUUUGUAAAAAGAAGUGAGAUCUGAUAAAAAACUUCAAAAAAGUAAAAAAAUUACGCCAAAUACAUGAAAAAGUGGAGGACUCAAGGAGUUAUUAUUGAAAAAUAGAAGGUCCCCAUAAAAAACUAAAAGAAAAUAGAAAAACAUGUGAAAUCGAAAUAAGCUGCCAGAUAAUUUGCCUAGAUUUCCGCGGCCUGGAAGUCAAAUGCUUGGCGUGGUCAGGCAAGGUCAAGGUGUCGAUGAA
Long non-coding RNA from Hylaeus anthracinus, 855 nucleotides. RefSeq lists it as uncharacterized. The record is from RefSeq and is a predicted model, not a curated record. Lineage: Eukaryota; Metazoa; Arthropoda; Insecta; Hymenoptera; Colletidae. The transcript is spliced from 3 exons.